This 453-nucleotide ribosomal RNA is filed under the name uncultured organism. Its description in RNAcentral is "partial 16S ribosomal RNA". It matches the Rfam family "Bacterial small subunit ribosomal RNA", at positions 331 to 800 of the family's 1533-position model. The record is from RNAcentral.
GUACACUCCUGCGGGAGGCAGCAGUGGGGAAUAUUGGACAAUGGGCGCAAGCCUGAUCCAGCCAUGCCGCGUGAGUGAUGAAGGCCCUAGGGUUGUAAAGCUCUUUCACCGGUGAAGAUAAUGACGGUAACCGGAGAAGAAGCCCCGGCUAACUUCGUGCCAGCAGCCGCGGUAAUACGAAGGGGGCUAGCGUUGUUCGGAUUUACUGGGCGUAAAGCGCACGUAGGCGGACUAUUAAGUCAGGGGUGAAAUCCCGGGGCUCAACCCCGGAACUGCCUUUGAUACUGGUAGUCUUGAGUUCGAGAGAGGUGAGUGGAAUUCCGAGUGUAGAGGUGAAAUUCGUAAAUAUUCGGAGGAACACCAGUGGCGAAGGCGGCUCACUGGCUCGAUACUGACGCUGAGGUGCGAAAGCGUGGGGAGCAAACAGGAUUAGAAACCCUAGUAGUCCCAUGA